Molecule: ribosomal RNA, 252 nt
Filed under: uncultured Staphylococcus sp.
Lineage: Bacteria; Bacillati; Bacillota; Bacilli; Caryophanales; Staphylococcaceae
Description: partial 16S ribosomal RNA
Rfam family: Bacterial small subunit ribosomal RNA
Source: RNAcentral
AUGUUAGCGGCGGACGGGUGAGUAACACGUGGAUAACCUACCUAUAAGACUGGGAUAACUCCGGGAAACCGGGGCUAAUACCGGAUAAUAUUUUGAACCGCAUGGUUCAAUAGUGAAAGACGGUUUCGGCUGUCACUUAUAGAUGGACCCGCGCCGUAUUAGCUAGUUGGUAAGGUAACGGCUUACCAAGGCGACGAUACGUAGCCGACCUGAGAGGGUGAUCGGCCACACUGGAACUGAGACACGGUCCAG